Molecule: ribosomal RNA, 481 nt
Filed under: uncultured bacterium
Lineage: Bacteria
Description: partial 16S ribosomal RNA
Rfam family: Bacterial small subunit ribosomal RNA
Source: RNAcentral
GAUGAACGCUGGCGGCGUGCUCAACACAUGCAAGUCGAACGAAGCACUUUAUUUGAUUUCCUUCGGGACUGAUUAUUUUGUGACUGAGUGGCGGACGGGUGAGUAACGCGUGGGUAACCUGCCUUGUACAGGGGGAUAACAGUUGGAAACGGCUGCUAAUACCGCAUAAGCGCACGGCAUCGCAUGAUGCAGUGUGAAAAACUCCGGUGGUAUAAGAUGGACCCGCGUUGGAUUAGCUAGUUGGUGAGGUAACGGCCCACCAAGGCGACGAUCCAUAGCCGAACUGAGAGGGUGACCGGCCACAUUGGGACUGAGACACGGCCCAAACUCCUACGGGAGGCAGCAGUGGGGAAUAUUGCACAAUGGGCGAAAGCCUGAUGCAGCGACGCCGCGUGAGCGAAGAAGUAUUUCGGUAUGUAAAGCUCUAUCAGCAGGGAAGAUAAUGACGGUACCUGACUAAGAAGCACCGGCUAAAUACGUG